Non-coding RNA from Mycena vulgaris, 88 nucleotides. The record is from the annotation of a GenBank genome assembly. NCBI's taxonomy places the organism in Eukaryota, Fungi, Basidiomycota, Agaricomycetes, Agaricales, Mycenaceae.
UCAGAUGUGGUGUAAUGGAAACACGGCCUAUCAUAAUAGCUCAAGAAAGAGCUAGAGGCAGUCCAGGGUUCGAGCCCCUGCAUCUGAA